UCCCCCUUGCGGAGGCAGUCCCGUAUGAGAAAUACAACAUACGGCGAGGGUUGCGCUCGUUGGAGGACUUAACCCGACAUCUCACGACACGAGCUGACGACGACCAUGCAGCACCUGUCAUCUGGCUCCCUUGCGGGCACCCUCCUGUUUCUAGGAGGUUCCAGAGAUGUCAAGCCCUGGUGAGGUCCUUCGCUUAGUGUCGAAUUAAACCACAUGCUCCACCGCUUGUGUGGAUCCCCGUCAAUUCCUUUGAGUUUUAACCUUGCGGCCGUACUUCCCAGGCGGGGUACUUAACGCGUUAGCUUAGGCACAUACGGGGUCGAGACCGCAUAUACCGAGUACCCAUCGUUUACAGCGUGGACUAC
Molecule: unclassified non-coding RNA, 365 nt
Filed under: uncultured bacterium
Lineage: Bacteria
Description: contains 16S-23S intergenic spacer region
Source: RNAcentral